UUGUGAGGCAUCUCCGGGUAGGGCGCCGGCCUAAGUUCCUUGGAACAGGACGUCAUAGAGGGUGAGAAUCCCGUGCUUGGCUGGCUGUCCCCGUCCAUGUGAGGUGUCUUCGACGAGUCGAGUUGUUUGGGAAUGCAGCUCAAAAUGGGUGGUAAAUUUCAUCUAAAGCUAAAUAUUGGUGGGAGACCGAUAGCGCACAAGUAGAGUGAUCGAAAGAUGAAAAGCACUUUGAAAAUAGAGUUAAAAAGUACGUGAAAUUGUUGAAAGGGAAGCGCUUGAGACCAGACUUCGGUGGGGGGUGAUCAGCUGUCCUUCUGGGCGGUGCACUUGCUCCCCUCCGGGCCAGCAUCGGUUGGGGCGGCGGGAUAAAGAUCCCGGGAAUGUGGCUCCUUUCGGGGAGUGUUAUAGCCCGGGUGAAUGCCGCCAGCUCCGACCGAGGACCGCGCCUUCGGGCUAGGAUGCUUGGCAUAAUGGUCUUCAGCGAC
This 485-nucleotide ribosomal RNA is filed under the name Morchella sp. RNAcentral's name for it is "partial large subunit ribosomal RNA". It matches the Rfam family "Eukaryotic large subunit ribosomal RNA", at positions 151 to 648 of the family's 3401-position model. Lineage: Eukaryota; Fungi; Ascomycota; Pezizomycetes; Pezizales; Morchellaceae. The record is from RNAcentral.